CCAGCCCUGUAGGAAAAAUGAAGCUGGGGAAUAAAGGACCACAAGACGCCCCCCCCCCCAAGGGGGAGCAGUAGGCCCCAUGGGCACACUUCCUGCAUCCAGGAUCCUCCCAAGAACUCUAUGACCUGUUACCAUUCUACAGGUGAGGAGACUGAGGCUCUGGUAGGUGACGUCACCCACCCAAGGUCGCACAGCUUGUGAGCUGUAGGGACACCAUGCUCCUCUCCCUGGUGCUCAGCCGACCCUGUCCCUAGAGGAGGGAGGUGAGCUCUUGCAGCAGGGCUGGGGAGGGACGUGCAUCGCGUGCAGCCCUUGGAGUCAAGCAAACCUGGAUUCCCAUCUUGGCUCUGCCAUUUGGAAGCUCUGUGUCCUUAGGCAAGUGCCAUCGCCCCUCAGAGCCUCAGAUAUCGUAUUGGUUAAGUGGGGAUGGUCUUCUUACUUAAUUCAUAGGGUGAAAAUGAAAUGGGUGACUCCGUGUGAGCGUCCUAUUAAAUAAACCACCGGAUAAAUGCUGCUGGUUGUUGAUCCUGUGAUUGUUUUAGGAAAACCUCCGGUUCAGGGAGAGCUAUGCCUUCCUGUCCUCAGGGACACCCUCUAUGAUUGUUUCUGAUGGCCUUGGGGCGCGGUUGGCUGGCACCAUUCUUCCAAGGACUCUGGAAAAACCCCAGCUUGCUCCUUCACCUCCGGUUGCUAUGACAACAGGGACUGGCAAGGAGGUGGACUGGGGGUGGGUAGUUUUCCUUGGGGCCAGUUCCAGGUGUCUCUGGGUUCUCUGGCCUGCUCAGCAUUUUUCUGGUCCCCGAACCCUCCUGGUUCUGGCUUGGGGGGCUCCAUUUGCCUCUUCCCCUUCACCUCAAAUUCUGUCCCUCUCCUCUGCCUCCUGACCUGAUUCUAGCCCACUUAGGAACACCCAGUAAGUUUCCUGCACAGGCAUGGAGACUUCAAAGCCCCGCAGAGAGAGAGAGAGAGAGCCGGUGGGGGGGGGGGAUGCUGUGAAGUCACCCCCCUGGGUCUCCAUCCCGGGCUCUGUCUAAGGAGGAUGAUCCAACACCGACCCUCUGGGCUAUGGCGAGGAUGCCCUAUGACGCCCCCUGGCACAGCACUGAGUGACAGUGGCUGCCACCGUUAUUCCUCCUCACCUCUCCUUUUUCCUUCUGUGGGGACCAUGCCAGUUUUCCAAGUCGGGUCGCUUGGCUGAGUCCGAUUCCUUUCUGGUUCUGAAUCCUUCCCCUGCUCCCUGAGGCCUGGUGACAAUCCUCAGCCACCUCUUCCUGCGGCUGCCUCUUCCCCUUUGCGGUCUUUCCUGCUUCCUGCCAGCCUUGUCCCUAACCGCUCUCUCCCCAGGAAUCCCGUGGCAGGUCCCUGCAUCCCCCUAAAGCCUCCUCUUCCCCCUACCCGCCAGCCGCAGUUGACUGAGCUCUGGAACAGGUAGACUGUAAAACCCAACUGGACGCAGCCGCACCAGAUGGUGUAUUUGAUCAGAAUUUGCAGAAGGGGUCUCCAGUCAGUCGGUUUUUCUCUACUGAAGCCCAUCGGGUCAAGUUCAGCCUCUGCACACUGUUGGCCAGCAGCCCCGUGGCCGAGGGCCCCUCCCUGCAGAGGUUGGUGCAAGUGAGAACAUGGGUGGUCCGAGCCCUCCCGUCACUCAUUCAUCUUCUAGAGACCCAUUGUGCAGAUGGAGCCUCUGAGGCUUGGAGGACCUGCUGAGGACAGAACUGAUUUGGAAGAAACCGGCCUUUUGUCUCUGGCCAGGCUUGCCCCGUUGGGAAUCGGGAACUAAAUUUGAUUUCAGGUGUCAAUUUCACCUGCCAUGCAAGAUUACAUUCCAUCAGGACCCACUGGGACAGACCCAGAGCAGGAGGAGGUGGCAGAGGAACAAGAAGGGGAUCUUCUUCUCUGAUAAUGAAAAAUCAAUUCGGUUGUAGAACCAGAACUGUCUCAACAUAACCGUGAGGAGGGGAGACCAAUGGGAAAUGCCAACGCAGAUGAUGACGAUGAUGUUGAUGAUGCUGGUGACAAUUAUUACUUUCUUUCCUGUGGCCAGGUGCUGUCCAGCCCAGGGACAUUCAUCAAGUGGCAUUUGGCUCUGAGAUUCUGGCUUCAUCUCUCACCUGCAGAGCAGCUAAUGAUGAGAGCUACCAUUUAUGGAAUGCCUUUUUCAAUGCCAGCUUUGGACACGGUCUCUAAAUAACCUGUAUCUGGAAAGGGCAGGACUUGGGCGAUACUGUCCAUGAAGCUACUUUUGUCCCCGCUCCCGAUUGUGCAGUCAUGGGAUGCCGAAUGAUUGUCGGACAGAAUCUUUCGAUCAUCUUCUUGUUUGUAGGUAGAAAAAAAUGUCUUGGGCACCUGUGACCUUGCAAUCCACUUUAGCUCAGUGAUCAAUAUGUCCAAGACAGUGGUCAGACUUCUGCUGCUCAGAGUUGUCGUGGGCAGAAGCCGCAGUGGGAAAUGGGCACGGUCAGCUUCUUGCAUCAUUUCCCCCAAAGUAAGGGGUGAUGCUGCUGCCCAACCAGCCAGGCGCCCUACCCCUGGGCCUUGUGGGAAGUGAUGGGGCAAAGUCCUCAUUUCCCUGGAACUGCUGUGGGCGGGACUCUGCAGACGGCCACUCUCUCUGGAAGAGUGUGUGUGGACUUUGGAACGUGGUCUCUGCUGGCUCACAAGUCAGACUCCAGCCCAUAGGGUUCUCCUCUCUUUGGGGGACACAAACCGAGAUUUUUGAGUACCUCCCUGGACUUCAGGGAGGAGAACACACCCACUUUCUCCCCCAAGGGGCCGGGGAGAGGAAAUGAGGGUGUUGCAACGCUCCAAUGACUAUCAAAAGAAGUCCUCCUUCCAUUUCUCUGCUUGGUCCACACUUCACCUUGAACCCUCUACUGCCCUGGAAUUAGAUGAAAGGCGCAGGCUGAGGUUAAGGCCAAGAGGAAACGAGUCCUGUCAAGAGUCUUGCAUUUCACUUUAAAACGUUGGAAGAUCCUGGCACUCAGUGUUUUGUUCUUGGCCCAAACUGGGACAUCAUGUCUCAUUGUUAACUCUGACAGUAAAAGUGGUCAGCUUCCCUCGGGGCUCACCCAUCAGUGCCAAAAGGCUAAUCUCCGUUGCCAGGAUGGAUGUCCGUGUGCCUGGGGUUUCUUUGAAGGUGAGGAAGGCCAGUCUUCCGCAGGCUGACCAGAAAUACCAAGUGGUCAGCACCUGCCCGAACAGCCCUCAGCCAAGGACUUAUGGGAACAGGCACUUAAAAUGCCCGGAUCCUCACUCCUGAAUUGGGGUAAGGCAGAGGCGUGGGUUCUGCGUGGUUUCCCGGGAUUUCCAUGGGGAUAUUUCUAGUGGAAAUAACUGCAGUAACUGGCUUGGUGAGCAGUUUGGUUUUGGUUUCUUUCUCUUUCUUGCUUUAUUUGCCCACUUCUCUUCCAUGACACCCCAAACUGACUGCUUGCCCCUCAGAUCCGUGUCUGCAGGUCCCUUAUUGGUGGAACCCAGAUGAAGACAAAGCCAGACUGACUCAGUCACCUCGAGUCCUGGGUACAACCCCCAUCUCAACGUGGACAGGUGUCCUGUGCUCUCUAUGAGGAAGCAGAGGAAAGAUCCUACGGAUGAAGGGCUUUGACCGUCAAUCACGAUGGGACUGGGAUUCAGCCUGGGAUCCUGUCACUCCCCGACACUGCUCUCUCUUGCAUACCACUCUUCGCCCCAGCUGCUGUCAGUCAUUUUCUCCAGCCAAUAAGGCAUGAUCCUCCAAGUGGCCACUUCUCACCCCAAAGGACACUUACUGCACCCGCUCUUGAUGCUCAUGACCUGGGUUCUGAAGCAUCUGCUGAGGGCUCUUCUUCACUCCCAGCUCCUAGCCCCAGUUAUCUCCCUGGAUUCCGUGCUGGAUAUAGCAUAUCUUCCUGGCCAUUGGCUUUGGCCAGUUCCAUUGGCCUGGACUUGUCUGAACUCUAGGAUUCCUGGUCUGGAUACCAUCCAGUUAAGGAUUGGUCAAUAUCAUGGUUCUCCUUUGUAAAUUUUCUUUCCUCGAUUCCCUAACCAUCCACGUCCUCAGCUAGAGGGACACGAAUUUGUAACCACGGGUCAAAAUUUAGAAGCACAUCCGGGAGCUUGUGUGCACCCGGCCGAGUGAGCCCGAGUCCCCAUCAGGAGAGCCUGGACACGCUGCUGGGAUUUGACCGAGAAGAAUUUCAUUGUUCCCAGGCUCCUCGCAUCACCUAAUUUCCUCUAACGAGGGCCCACAAAGCAACCAGGAGAGGUGCGGGAUUGGAUGGCAAUUCACUCCCUGGUGAUGGCAGAUGAAUUGCCGGGCCUGCUCGGUGGCACUGUGGUGGCCGAUGUCUGGGAGGCGGUCUCGGUGGAUGCUGAUUCAAUUAUGCAGAAACACAGAAGGAAAUUGUCAGCCCAGUUGCGGCCCCGCUGCCAAACUGCACCUAGCCGCCGUCCCCAGUGCUGUUUCUCGCUGAUUCAGCAGCAUGUGGCUCUUCCAGAAUGACCGGGGGCUCUGUUCUACUCGGUGUGGCCACUUGUCUCUGCAGGCAAAUGUCCCAUCAGAGACCUCCAAAUACAGAGGUCUCUUCAUCUCCAGAAACACCUUUGGCUAUUUAUUUUUCUUCUGCAUCCAUGCAAAUAAAAAUUUAAAAGAAAAUGACAAGACUCCAACAAUGAAUCUUGGCUGAGUACUGACUGUGCGCUAAGUACUCUCCGGGGCAAUGAGAAUAAUCACUGAACCCAACAGGCCCAAGUGCAUGCCUUUAGGAGUUUAGAGUCCUGCUCCAUCUUCUGACGGGUAAGAUGCUUAGCUCGGUCUCCAGACUUUCAUUGUUUUCUGGAAUCUGGAUACUAGGGAAGUGCAAAUUCAAGAGACAGAGGGGCCCAAGUGAUGAAUAGAAGAGAGACCUUUGUCAGAACAGAGAAUUCAGGGCCGAGACCCUGGCUGCAUUUGGAGAUUUUAGGAAGCUUACAAAAUAAAGACGGGGCAUUUUAGCAGAGCGGGUGGUGGGGGUACACAACAGGAAGAAGGGAGUAAAUGUCAAGUUUUGCUGUAUUUCAUGAAACAAAUACUUCUGUUCUCCGUGAUUUAUUUUGAGACAUCAAUAGGUAUAAUUUUAACAUUGCUUUUUUUAAAAAAAAAAUCCAAUGAACAAUCAUUUAUUGAGCACCUAUUAUGUUCCCGGUAUUAGGCAGAUGCAGUCUUUGCCUAAUUCAUCAUAUUGUUCUAAGGGAAAGAUUCAUUGGACAGGUGACAGGUACACGUGGGAGGGAGAUAGAACUUCAUGCAGAAAGACAGAGAAAGCCUCAGCGAGCUGAUGAGAUUUAUGUGGGGCCUGACGGAUCAGGAGCUUGUCAGGCAGAGGGAGGGGGCGGAAUGCAAGGAUAGUUUCAGAGAGAAGUCAUGGGUCUUGAAGAGGCUUAAUGACGUGAAAGAAUGCAGUUGACCUGGCCAUCAGGGCCCCAUCCAAGAAAAUAGUGCCAGGAACUCCCUUACCGGAUUCUUCUCUGCACCUAGUUCCCAGUAAAAUCGAACAUUGUCAGGCGAGUUCCUACAACGUGGGCAUGAAUCUGUCCCACCUCGACGUCUGCUGCCGCCUCUGCCGUUGCUGCUAUUGUCAAGGAGACGAAAGUGGUGGUGGUGGCUGGGCGUGUUUUUCUGCUUUUAGUUGCUAUGACAAAAUACCUGGAGAUGAACAACUUAAAAGGAAGAAAGGUUGGCUUGGGCUCAAGUCAAUUGUAGACUGAGGUUUCAGUCCACAAUUGCUUGGCCCUGUGGCCUUUGGGCCUGUAGCGAGGCAGAGCACCAUGGUGGGAGCCCACAGAGGAGAAAAUCCGCUCAUCUCAUGGCUGCCUGGAAACAGAGAGAGAGAGAGGAAGGGCCCCGAUCUCACCCUCAAGGGCAAGGCAUAAAUUCCUCCCAGCAGACUCCAUUCUGUGACUUUCCCCACCACCCAACAGCGCCACCAGCUGGGGACCAAGCCUUCACCGUAGCAGCCUUUGGGAGCCACUUAAGAUCCAGUGAGGAUUCAGACUGGCUGUCAGAAUUGGCGUUUCCUGGGACAGGGUUCUGUGCUGUAGUGGCCUCAGGGAUGAAGCAGGCCACACAGGCUUUCUGUGGGCUACAUUUAUGAGGCACCUGCUGUAUACCCAUUUCUGUACCAACUGCAAGGAAACAAAGAGAGCAGCCGCACACUUGGUUCAUUCCUUGCCAACGCCAAGCCAACAGGCAGCCACACGAUCUUAAUGUCCUGGAAACCAGGGCAGUGUCCCUUACAGCGGCUUCCGGAGCCCCUGGGGAGGUCGCACAGACCCAACUGGGUCAUGAGCUCUAUCCAAAAAAUAGCUGUGUGACCUUAGGCGAGUUCCUUCUCCUGUAUCUAAAUUUUCUCAUCCGUGAAAAUGAGGAUUGGAAUGCAACCCUGAAGGGCCGUGGGGAGGAUUAGAGACGACCCCUGUGUCAUGGGGGCCACGUUGUGAAUAAGCAGGAAGCAGCCUCCUUCUCCUCUCCACGUCGCCUCCCCGCCCCUGGGUAAAAUCUUGAGCACUGUCCCUCAUCUCGCGAGUCACGCCCAGGUAAUAGAAUCAUCUGCCGUCAUUUGUGCUCGCAGAAUGGCUCCGUCUCCGUCCUUACGAUCUUGCUCUUAAGUCAUGGUUAAAAGUCUGGGACUUAGAGCUUCUUUUCAACCAGCCAAGUGUGAAACAAACAAACAAGACAAAACAAAACAAAAAGAGACAGAGAGAGAGAGAGACAGACAUUUUUGAAAUAAUUGGAGAAGUCCAAAUGCUAAAGGAGUGAUUUUGUGAAUUGUAUAAGGGUAAAAAUGCUAUGUAGCGAUUCACGCUAAAUCACCAAAGAUGAACUGAUGGGACGGGCUUGCGUAUGCCUUACAAAACUUCAUGGCUAGGAGAAAGGGCUGGGGUGUACACGAACCAGGAAUGGCUGUGUUUCCUGUAUUAUUCUAGGUAAUUAUUUCCCUACUUCUGCAAGUCUUCAAAAGCUUCCAUAAGAAAAUGCUUGAAAAAGAUGUUAAGUGUCUUCCCUAAGCAACCGCAUAUGAUCGACAGGGUGUACACCGUGUAAGACGAGUAGGGAUUGUUAUACCAGAGACGUUGUAGAUCUACCUAGUUAUUAUAAGUUGUUUUUUUGGCUAACGGCACUGGUUGCCCUAAUAAAAUCAGUAUAUUUUCUUAUGCUGGGAGGCAAAAUUCUAUGAUGACUGUCUAAGGAUCUCUUCCUCCUGGAAUCCACCACCUAUGAAAUCCUCCCCGGGACCGUGAUUUGAUUCUAAUGAAUAAGAUACAGUAAAUGGGAUGGUUUGUCUCUUCCAGGAAUAUAUUCUAAAAGUCUAGCUUCUAUCUGGCUUUAUCUCUGGCUCUUCUCUCUUCCCCAUUCCAAAGAAAUUGGAGUUCAUGCUGUGAGCUACUCAACGGAGAGGCCCACCCGGCAAGGACCUCGGGCCAGCAGCCCUCAAGGGAAUGAACUUUCCAACAACCACUUGAGUGGGCUUGGAAGAGGAUCCUGCCCCAGUCCCACCUUCAGCUGAGAUCACAACCCCACCAAUGCCUUGACUGCAAUCUGGUGAGGGACCCUGCACCAGAGGACCUAGUUAGUCACACCUCAUUCCUGACCCACAGAGACCAUGAGGUUAUAAAUGCCAUUGUUUUUAAAUUACUACAUUUGGGGAGGGAAAUUAAUUAUUCAGUAAU
Long non-coding RNA from Marmota monax (woodchuck), 7686 nucleotides. RefSeq lists it as uncharacterized. Lineage: Eukaryota; Metazoa; Chordata; Mammalia; Rodentia; Sciuridae. The transcript has 3 exons. The record is from RefSeq and is a predicted model, not a curated record.